Molecule: non-coding RNA, 1303 nt
Organism: Camellia sinensis
Lineage: Eukaryota; Viridiplantae; Streptophyta; Magnoliopsida; Ericales; Theaceae
Source: RefSeq, a predicted model, not a curated record
GAGAAAUAAGUUGGGUGUUGGACCCAUAAUACUGACUAAUUCUAGUUACCCACUCUUAUUUAUCCCGAAUUUAUCUGAAAUGAAAUUGUGUAAUUAUGACUGAAUUUGUGUAGUGUAAAAUAAAUUUGUAAAAUAAAUUUGAAUCACAAUAUUAUAAUAAACUCGGAAUAGAUAGGGGGUUUAUAGUAUUACUCCAAAAGAAACUAGUAUGUCGUUUUCCCACAUAACGGAGGCACACAAGCUCAAAGAUCACUCCUCUUUGCCCCAAUCUCCAUAGACGAAACAAGGGAAGAACAGACUAGCAAUGGUGUCGAUGAAAGGUUUACAUCCAACCGCAGUGUCUUAAGAGAGACGGUUUUUUAUCUUCUCUAUUUGAAAAAUUUUAGUGUAUUGGACUGAAAAUUUUAGUCUGUUGCACUUACGAUUCCCAUGUUCACUUAUGAUGUGUUUGGUUGGGGGAUUUGAGGAGGGAUUUGGAAAGGGAAAAGGUGUGUGAAACUAGGUGAAAUAUAGGCAUGUUUUAUUCACAUUUCACCUACCUUUUCCAUUUCCCUUUUCAAAUCCCUCUCUAAAUCCCCAACCAAACACAGCAUUAAAGUGUUUUUUUUUUUUUGGUGUGUGUGUUGUUUUUGUGUUCUCAGGGUUGAUGUUGUUGACGUUUCUUGGAAUUUAAGCUCUGUUGAUGCUUACUUGAAAUUUAAGCUUCAAAUCCAUUUGUAUUGGCUCACUUUGGAGAAUUUAACCUCCAACAAGUAAAGCUGAGGCGAAAGAAGAAGAUCAAGAAAGCCCUUCCUUUCACGAAAUGGAAUCUGAUGGGUGGAGGAUUCUCAUCUCUGCGAUGUGGAUGUGUUUCAGUUCCUUGUUCUUUCUCCCAGCCACGCGUCACCAUCUACUUUGAAGUGUUGGACAGUGCUGGAAGAAAGGACUGCUAGAGGAUCCAAAAGCCUUCUUAACAUAAGGAGAAAAGGUUUCAGGUAACGUUCUGCAUACGAAGAUCCUCAUCGCACCCAACCUUGAACUUAUUAUAGUUGGGUGCGACGAACAAUAAAAACACCAUCUUGGAUACCAAACCAUCAAACUUCCUUCCUGCAUAUCCCAUCAACCAACUGCGCGAACGUCAACUCUUGAUGAAGUCAAACAACAACAUUCAUUUGCCCGUAAGUACACAACAACAAAAUAACAACUUCCAUACCCGUAAAAUCAACAAAAACCUUAAUAUCCCCUUACCCCCACUACUAAAAUUUCAGCUUUUUGCGAUGGUAAAAUGCCGUCGCUAAUACUCCUAAUGCCGUCGCAAAAAACU